AGACAUGUAGUUCAGCGGUUAGAAUAUACGUCUGAUAAACGUAUGGUCAUUGGUUCAAAUCCAAUCAUGUCUACCA
This 76-nucleotide transfer RNA is filed under the name Alkaliphilus sp. B6464. RNAcentral's name for it is "tRNA-Ile". It matches the Rfam family "tRNA". Rfam says of the family: Transfer RNA (tRNA) molecules are approximately 80 nucleotides in length. Their secondary structure includes four short double-helical elements and three loops (D, anti-codon, and T loops). The record is from RNAcentral. Lineage: Bacteria; Bacillati; Bacillota; Clostridia; Peptostreptococcales; Natronincolaceae.